GUUAACUCUAUUAAACGGACAACCUCUGAAAUAACCUCUUGCACUUAUCGAUUAUACGAAAUAAUGGAAACACUGCAAAAAUCAUGUCGAGAAAAAAAGAUCCACGUAAUACUCAUCAUGUCAUGACUUGCAAUUAACCCUCCUCGUGGACAAAUUUGACAAUAGUUUGCAGCAUAUAAGAGCUAAUACGCUUACUUUGCAUUGCGCAUAAUGGCUGACGAAAGACCUAGCAAUAAGUAACGCUACCAAAAAUCGUUGUACGUACAACAUAGAAUGAAGAUAAGCCGAUUCGUUUAAUGUCUGAAACUACUUAUAAACUCAACCCGGUCAAUAAUUCAUCGCUUUUACAUUAUUUGUAAUUGAACAAACGUACGUCAAAACCUUGUCAAGUGUCAAACGUCAAAAUGUGAAUAUAUAAAGGAAUCCUCACAUGCAGAUCGCACACUAGUCUGCCCGACGUCGUGGAGAGUCAAGUACUUAUGCGGAUUGAUAAAGUUGUGGAAUCGUAUCCAAUUUAUAACAUGACGCUCACGAAGGAAAGCCUGAAUUAUACCGAAGCUAAGGCUCAGGGUAGACGUCAACCUGCAGACGCGCAUUGGCAAGAAGGAUUAAAACCGAAACCAAACAUGAGAAGGAUUUCCAACUCGGACAUGGCUUUUUUGCAAUCUGUCACCACCACAAUUUCGGAAAGGAGGAGAAAGCCGACGAUAGAUUUGAGUGACGACUUCUGAACAUCUUGGAUUUUCUUAUUUAAUUUUGAAACUAUUUGCCAUGUAUUUUUUUAUACCUUUAAUGUUUUUACCGGUUAAAUCCAGAAAAUUUUUGUUCGUGAUUUUGAAGUUAUAAAAUAAAUUGUCAAGUUUACAAACUCAC
This is a long non-coding RNA of Folsomia candida, 873 nucleotides long. RefSeq lists it as uncharacterized. The transcript is spliced from 2 exons. The record is from RefSeq and is a predicted model, not a curated record. Lineage: Eukaryota; Metazoa; Arthropoda; Collembola; Entomobryomorpha; Isotomidae.